AUUUGGAUUUAAUUUGGUCGCUAAUGGGAAAAGGGGAUUCUGAGAGAUCAGGGACCACUUCUCGUUAAUCUUUCUAAUCCCCAGGACCUAAUACAGUAUCCGGAGCCUGCUGGAAACUCAAAAACAUUUACUUAAUUGAUGGGUGGGUGGAUGGAGGACGGCGAUGAAAGAUCAGCAUAGAAAUUGACAGAUGGGUUGUGGAUGGUGGAAGAUGAAUGGAUAAAUGGCUGGAGAAAUAGCCAAUGGACAGAUGGAGGGAGGAAAACAACCAGGAAGAGGAGCUGGGGGAACAGUUGGAAGUUGCUUCCUGUGAGACAGACGCCGGUUCUCCAGUGCCGGGGUGACAUUCACAGACUUGGGAAAAGCACC
RNAcentral lists this long non-coding RNA (369 nucleotides) under Callithrix jacchus (white-tufted-ear marmoset). RNAcentral describes it as "lncRNA (ENSCJAG00000076548.1)". The record is from RNAcentral. Lineage: Eukaryota; Metazoa; Chordata; Mammalia; Primates; Cebidae.